GGGUAGCGGUGAGGAGAGGAAGAGAAUAGGUCUAGCGGUAGGGUCGCACCAGGAGAAGGAGAAGAGGUAGGUUGGGUCGGUCUUCGAACUAGACCGGCAAGCGGGGUCAGCGGCCAGGGCACCCAGUCGUCGGAGCGGAGGUGGGCUAAGUCAGCGCAGGAGGAAGGGUUCCGAAAGAGGCUAGACGGUUGGGUGGUGGGGUGGUACGGAGCGAGAGAGACGGGGGAGGAAGGGGUGCGUCGCGGCUACCCCGUCCCGGAGGCGCCGGCGGCCGCGGGAGACGCUGAGGAGAAGAGGUACUAAGCGGGCGAUAAUGAGGAGAGGAGGUGCUAAGCACCACUACAACCCCACCGUAGAAGAAGCUCGCCCUCCACACGGAGCAGGAGCGUGUACGGGCCGGCGCGGUAGCCUCGGGGGGCGUCUCCGUCACGAGGCGGUGGGCUACGACAAGAAGCGCAGCAGGACGCGAGGGUUUCGACCCUUGGCCGAGGGGCGGAGGUUCAAGAGCCGUAGCUGCAGGGCACGACGGACGUAGGAGCGGUUCGGGCUGAGCGUCGGCACAUCGGGCUCGAGCGGUUCCGCGAAGUUGAGGCGGCGGCGCGGUAGAAGAAGUCCGCGAGCUCGUGCUCGUGUUCGAGCGGGCGCGGGGUGGAGAGAGACGGCGAGGCAGGCGGCGGGCGCCACGGCACUGGGCGGUGACGGCACGGGACGUAGUGAGACAUCGGCGCGGCGGACCCAGUUACGCCAGUCACGAGAGUUCGGCAACUGGGGCGCGGUCCCCUGCUGAUAAAGGAGGGUACGCACGCGCGGGCACGAGGUCGGGAGGGGAGGGGUACGACGGGCCGUGUGAGCGCGGCGCCCCGGCAUAGGUCGGACACGGACCUGCUGCCUUCGGGGGGGUGACAGACACGCGAGGCCGGUCGAGGGACAGCGCGAGCUCUGGAGGAGCUCAGAAGGGCGGCUCCGGAAGGGCCACUGGUCGGAAACUGAACCCAGAGGACAGGCGGAGCCGCGCCUGCGGGCGGUACUGCGGCCGCCGUUCGCCGCCGCGCACGGGCCGCUACCUCUUGCCGUCCUAUUCGCCACUCUCCGCACCACCACUCGGUCAGGUUAUUCUCUAUUCCCAACGCCCGUAUCAAAGAUUGUUUAAAUCCCCCAAAAUGCGUUUUUGCUUUGCAAAAAGGUUUCACGGUGAAUUUGUCCCUGACGCCCAAUUAAAGUUUCUUUGUCUCCCCGAAAAAGCGUUUUUGCGGCUGCUGCAUGCUGGUCUUCGUGAGGCACGAAAUAAUCAUCCCUUUCUAUAUAUAGAUUAACCUACAUCCCCUCGUACUUAAUAAUAACAACUGUAAUGGGAACUCCAUUUCCAACACCCCGUUUUGAUAUUCGGGGAUAGAAAGAGACACAGGUUAGUUUUGAGGCAUUGUUGUUCAUAGCGCACUCACAAUCGUUAAUACUUCCUGAUUCACUAUCAACUCAUACACCUGAACGAAAAUUCGAGACUGUAUCUGAGAAAAGCUACAAUACUAUUUAACGUUAACGAAGUUACUGACUCCAAUAUUAAACAACCACGAGUUAUUCCAAAGACUAAGUAUGAAAAACGAAACACUUUUCUAGUAGUGAACUUGUAUUCAUUAGUAUACUGUUUUAGAGAUGUACAACAACAAUACCUUUAUUAGUACUACGGAAGUACGGGCAUAAAAUAAAAAUAGAUUUGUACUCCUGUAUAAAUAACAAUAGCCGAAAAGCGAACUCCUGUUCGCUCCAGAUUCGAACCCCCUCAACUAUGCAGGUAAAACGUAGUACGAAAAUAUAGUUGUAAAUAACGUAAUGUCCGACAAUAAAGUGCAAUACAGUGUUAUGAAUACCGAUAAGAGAGAAUAAAAUGUUCCAAAUGUACUUCUCCCUCUUACGGCCGUCGACCUUAAGACCCGACCUUUUCCUCGUUUAUAACCUCCGGAUAAGACGCAUUGAGGUUUUCAGGACUUUGAGGUGCCUUAUAGAAUUUUAUUUAUUUCUUUUUAGCAGCGGUUUCUACUUCCGGUCCCCUGGGUGUGGGACGAGUGCUCCCGCCCCCUGCGGGGGGGGGAGGAUCCCGCGCGGGGGAUGCAGCACCGGGGGGGCCACCGAGAGGCUGUGGGUAGAAGAGGAUAUACUUCAGAAAGUUACUCUUUUUUUGUAGUUCGUUGGAAAGUCCUGCUCUGAGGCGGAGGUGCUCCGCCUUGGAACCGCCUUGGUUAGAUCCCGAGACCGUCUCGACAAGACGGCCCCUGUGAAGGGGGGCCCUCCCCCUUUAGUAGUGGUUGCAGUAGUGGUUACUAGGAGAGUAGCCCUCUCCCGUUAGAGGUAGUUGUAGAAGUGGUCGUGGUAGAGUAGAGGUUUGGGAUCAAGUAGAGAACAUAGGUUAAGAACAGAGGUACAGGCCCUAACCACGAUCAUCCAACGAUCAUCAUAACUAAUGAGGAACAUCAACUACGAUCAACCAAAUAAACCACCUUCUAGUAUACAAGUCUAGGAAAUACGUAUAAUAAUGGGGAGACUAAUACUUGUACUUAUACGAAAAACUCAUCAAUG
RNAcentral lists this ribosomal RNA (2571 nucleotides) under Triticum aestivum (bread wheat). RNAcentral describes it as "partial small subunit ribosomal RNA". Lineage: Eukaryota; Viridiplantae; Streptophyta; Magnoliopsida; Poales; Poaceae. The record is from RNAcentral.